GAUGAAGAACGCAGCGAAAUGCGAUAAGUAAUGUGAAUUGCAGAAUUCAGUGAAUCAUCGAAUCUUUGAACGCACAUUGCGCCCCUUGGUAUUCCGAGGGGCAUGCCUGUUCGAGCGUCAUUAUAACCCCUCAAGCUCAGCUUGGUGUUGGGCCCCGCCGCCCCGGCGGGCCCUAAAGUCAGUGGCGGUGCCGUCCGGCUCCGAGCGUAGUAAUUCUUCUCGCUCUGGAGGUCCGGUCGUGUGCUCGCCAGCAACCCCCAAUUUUUUUCAGGUUGACCUCGGAUCAGGUAGGGAUACCCGCUGAACUUAAGCAUAUCAAUAAGCGGAGGA
This 330-nucleotide unclassified non-coding RNA is filed under the name soil metagenome. Its description in RNAcentral is "partial contains 5.8S ribosomal RNA, internal transcribed spacer 2, and large subunit ribosomal RNA". The stretch from base 1 to 120 matches the Rfam family "5.8S ribosomal RNA", at positions 35 to 154 of the family's 154-position model. The record is from RNAcentral.